This is a long non-coding RNA of Teleopsis dalmanni, 581 nucleotides long. RefSeq lists it as uncharacterized. The transcript has 2 exons. The record is from RefSeq and is a predicted model, not a curated record. NCBI's taxonomy places the organism in Eukaryota, Metazoa, Arthropoda, Insecta, Diptera, Diopsidae.
GAAAAAUGGUUGCUUGUGUGGCUUUUGUGUUAAAUAAAUUUGUGUGAAAUACUCAUAAAGAAAUUCAAUUCUCCUCGAAGGCACUCCCAUUGAAAUACAACUACGUACAGCUUUCCUAUUUGAAAGCGAAAUAUCAUCGCGGAAUACUAAUGAAAUAUAAAUUUUUCCGUGCGAAUACAUCAGUUGAGUUCGUUGUGUUAAGAUGAAAACUUUAACAUACACGAUUUGUUGAAAAGCAAGAAAAAUCUUGAGUUCGUUCUACGUAACACAGGAGUGAAUAAUAUGUGGUGCAAAAUAUUGACUAAUAAACUGUGGCGCCAUCAUAAUCGGUUCAAAAUGAUGCUCCAAUGGAAGAGAUUAAUUUUAUUACCGAUUUUAGUAAUACUUUUAAGUAAUUUAAGUAUAAAAAAUAUAUUAGUAAGUGCGAGUCAAUCGGGUAUCUACAUCGACAAUGGACUCGAUCAAACAGUGAUGCAACGUACUUUGAAUGAGGAUGACAAAAUUCAUGUUUCAUAUGAAAUAUUAGAAUUUUUAGGUUUAGCUGAAAGACCCCGACGGAAGCAUUCACAUCUGUCAUUAAG